RNAcentral lists this ribosomal RNA (401 nucleotides) under uncultured bacterium. Its description in RNAcentral is "bacterial SSU rRNA". It matches the Rfam family "Bacterial small subunit ribosomal RNA", at positions 28 to 415 of the family's 1533-position model. The record is from RNAcentral.
GAUGAACGCUGGCGGCGUGCUUAACACAUGCAAGUCGAGCGAAGCGCUUUUGAAUUCUUCGGAAUAAAGAAGUGACUGAGCGGCGGACGGGUGAGUAGCGCGUGGGUAACCUGCCUUACACAGGGGGAUAACAGUUAGAAAUGACUGCUAAUACCGCAUAACCCGCUAGGAUCGCAGGAUCCGGACGGAAAAGAUUUAUCGGUGUAAGAUGGACCCGCGUCUGAUUAGCUAGUUGGUGAGGUAACGGCCCACCAAGGCAACGAUCAGUAGCCGACCUGAGAGGGUGAUCGGGCCACAUUGGGACUGAGACACGGGCCCAAACUCCUACGGGAGGCAGCAGUGGGGAAUAUUGCACAAUGGGGGAAACCCUGAUGCAGCAACGCCGCGUGAGUGAAGAAGUA